Triticum aestivum (bread wheat) is the source of this 125-nucleotide non-coding RNA. Lineage: Eukaryota; Viridiplantae; Streptophyta; Magnoliopsida; Poales; Poaceae. The record is from Rfam.
UUACUACUCCCUCCGUCCGGAAAUACUUGUCAGAGGAAUGGAUGUAUCUAGACAUAUUUUAGUUCUAGAUGCAUUCAUUUUUAUGCAUUUCUUCGACAAGUAUUUCCGGACGGAGGGAGUACUUU